This 371-nucleotide ribosomal RNA is filed under the name Knopkirie petri. Its description in RNAcentral is "mitochondrial SSU rRNA". Lineage: Eukaryota; Metazoa; Arthropoda; Arachnida; Mesostigmata; Phytoseiidae. The record is from RNAcentral.
GGUUAGAUAUAAAAAAGAUUUAGUAGUAAGUGAAACUCAUGAAACUAAAAUUAAUUGGCGGCUUAAUAAAUUUUUUAGAGGAAUUUAUUCUUUAAUAGAUUUAACCCUAAAAUCUUACUUUUGUUAGUUAAUCAGUUUGUAUACCGCUAUUUAAAUAUAAUAUGAGUUAUAUUAAUUAAUUCUAAGAGGCACUAUUUUAGGUUAAGGUGCAGCUUAUAUAAAAGAUUGAAAUAAAUUAUAUGAAUUAGUAUUUAACAAAAAAUUAAUUUUAAUUUUAAUUUUAAGUAAAAUUUAAUAGUAAGUUUUAUGAAUAAAGUAAAACUGAAUAAUAAUUUAUAGGUGUACAUAUUGCCCGUCACUCUCUUUUUGAG